GUUUCUCAUAGGCAAACCCUUCGAAAGCAGGGGGCGCAAAGUCAUUGGGUCUAAGUCUUUUCUCCUAACAAGGAAUGGGAUACGACAGCCAGACUGCCGAA
This 101-nucleotide non-coding RNA is filed under the name Paenibacillus sp. BC26. RNAcentral describes it as "GEMM cis-regulatory element". It matches the Rfam family "c-di-GMP-I riboswitch aptamer". Rfam says of the family: GEMM was predicted in a large-scale screen for bacterial structured RNA regulatory elements. Genes associated with GEMM are involved in a diverse array of functions, including chemotaxis regulation, signal transduction, secretion and chitin. Lineage: Bacteria; Bacillati; Bacillota; Bacilli; Caryophanales; Paenibacillaceae. The record is from RNAcentral.